Molecule: transfer RNA, 69 nt
Filed under: Aegithalos glaucogularis (silver-throated tit)
Lineage: Eukaryota; Metazoa; Chordata; Aves; Passeriformes; Aegithalidae
Description: tRNA-Pro
Rfam family: tRNA
About the family: Transfer RNA (tRNA) molecules are approximately 80 nucleotides in length. Their secondary structure includes four short double-helical elements and three loops (D, anti-codon, and T loops).
Source: RNAcentral
CAGAGAGUAGUUUAGGUAAAAUGCCAGCUUUGGGAGUUGGUGACGAAGGUUUAAUUCCUUUCUCUUUGA